GUCUGAUAUGCAUUCUGUAUUAUAUGGGCUUUUGGAAGCCUGAAGGGUUUAUGAAUUUGAUUUGUGACGGAGAGGGGGAAGUGUGUGGAAUAAAAUGGUUGCACCAGCGCACAGCACAAUGAUUCGAUCCGGCCGGGGCUUGCGUGAUUGUGUUGGCGUCGAUCGGUGGCGCUGUCGAUGGAGGGGGGGGGGGGGGGGGAAGGCAGGCGAGACAGCGCGCGUGCAUGCGAGGUGUGCAGGCCAAUGCUAGCUGGUCCCGGCGCCCGCCCUAGCGAGGCGAUAUCCAUCGCACUCCGUCGUGUCCAAGUCCAUUCCGGGCCUCCGUCAAUAAAUAUGCUCCGUCUCGUCAGAGAUUGUCGCCUCGAUCAUUUGGUGGUGAUCACUAUCAUCUCCUGAUCUGUUAGAUAGGUACACACGCUCGCUCCUCGAUCGUCUCGUCUGGAGAUUCCACCGUCAGAAGAUAACAAUCAGAUUAGAUCUACCGACCCGUCACCGCAGCCAUGGGAUGAUGGAGCAGGCCCGGUCGACCCGGAUGGUUUUUCGUCGCUCGAAUCAUGCUCCAACGUCGCCAUUCCGCACCACACGCUUGCCAGUCCGCUGGCGUACAGGCGGCCGGCUAACCCGACAUUUACCACCAACCGAUCGUUGAGCUAGCUAUGAAUGUGGUGAUGCUGACGGGGGGUAGAUAAGAGCGUUCAAUUGCUAUGGUGGCUGGCCUUGUUCUUCCUACUCCGUAUUUGAUUCACAAAUUCGAGAUGACGGGGGAUAGAUAUAUAGGGGUAAUCUUCUUACUACUGUAAAUCGUACAAUAUGUCCAGAUGAUUCAAGCCUACUGCCUACUUCUGGCAGAUGCUGCCCGGCCGGCCCAACGGUGAAUGACAUCUGUUGACGAUGGUUGCAGGAGUACGAUACUGGGGUG
Molecule: long non-coding RNA, 919 nt
Filed under: Hordeum vulgare
Lineage: Eukaryota; Viridiplantae; Streptophyta; Magnoliopsida; Poales; Poaceae
Description: long non-coding RNA (HVUL_LNC021434)
Source: RNAcentral